This 493-nucleotide ribosomal RNA is filed under the name uncultured bacterium. RNAcentral describes it as "bacterial SSU rRNA". It matches the Rfam family "Bacterial small subunit ribosomal RNA", at positions 29 to 507 of the family's 1533-position model. The record is from RNAcentral.
AUGAACGCUAGCUACAGGGCUUUAACACAUGCAAGUCGAGGGGCAGCAUGGUCUUAGCUUGCUAAGGCCGAUGGCGACCGGCGCACGGGUGAGUAACACGUAUCCAACCUGCCGUCUAACUCUUUGGACAGCCUUCUGAAAGGAAGAUUAAUACAAGAUGGCAUCAUGAGUUCACAUGUUCACAUGAUUAAAGGUAUUCCGGUAGACGAUGGGGAUGCGUUCCAUUAGAUAGUAGGCGGGGUAACGGCCCACCUAGUCUUCGAUGGAUAGGGGUUCUGAGAGGAAGGUCCCCCACAUUGGAACUGAGACACGGUCCAAACUCCUACGGGAGGCAGCAGUGAGGAAUAUUGGUCAAUGGGCGCUAGCCUGAACCAGCCAAGUAGCGUGAAGGAUGAAGGCUCUAUGGGUCGUAAACUUCUUUUAUACGGGAAUAAAGUUUCCUACGUGUAGGAUUUUGUAUGUACCGUAUGAAUAAGCAUCGGCUAACUCCGUG